GACGAACGCUGGCGGCGUGCUUAACACAUGCAAGUCGAGCGGUAAGGCCCUUUCGGGGGUACGACGAGCGGCGAACGGGUGAGUAACACGUGGGUGACCUGCCCUCAGCUCUGGGAUAAGCCUGGGAAACCGGGUCUAAUACUGGAUAUGACUCCAUGACGCAUGUUGUGGGGUGGAAAGCCUUGUGCGGCUGAGGAUGGGCCCGCGGCCUAUCAGCUUGUUGGUGGGGUGAUGGCCUACCAAGGCGACGACGGGUAGCCGGCCUGAGAGGG
Molecule: ribosomal RNA, 272 nt
Filed under: uncultured bacterium
Lineage: Bacteria
Description: partial 16S ribosomal RNA
Rfam family: Bacterial small subunit ribosomal RNA
Source: RNAcentral